AGUGAACGCUGGCGGUAGGCCUAACACAUGCAAGUCGAACGGCAGCACAGUAAGAGCUUGCUCUUACGGGUGGCGAGUGGCGGACGGGUGAGGCAUACAUCGGACUCUACUUUUUCGUGGGGGUUAACGUAGGGAAACUUACGCUAAUACCGCAUACGACCUACGGGUGAAAGCAGGGGAUCUUCGGACCUUGCGCGAUUGAAUGAGCCGAUGUCGGAUUAGCUAGUUGGCGGGGUAAAGGCCCACCAAGGCGACGAUCCGUAGCUGGUCUGAGAGGAUGAUCAGCCACACUGGAACUGAGACACGGUCCAGACUCCUACGGGAGGCAGCAGUGGGGAAUAUUGGACAAUGGGCGCAAGCCUGAUCCAGCCAUACCGCGUGGGUGAAGAAGGCCUUCGGGUUGUAAAGCCCUUUUGUUGGGAAAGAAAAGCAGCAGGUUAAUACCCCGCUGUUCUGACGGUACCCAAAGAAUAAGCACCGGCUAACUUCGUG
RNAcentral lists this ribosomal RNA (492 nucleotides) under uncultured bacterium. Its description in RNAcentral is "partial 16S ribosomal RNA". It matches the Rfam family "Bacterial small subunit ribosomal RNA", at positions 29 to 507 of the family's 1533-position model. The record is from RNAcentral.